Molecule: ribosomal RNA, 207 nt
Filed under: uncultured bacterium
Lineage: Bacteria
Description: partial 16S ribosomal RNA
Rfam family: Bacterial small subunit ribosomal RNA
Source: RNAcentral
CGCGUAGGUGGUUUCGUGUGUCGAUGGUGAAAUCCUGCAGCUCAACUGUAGAACUGCCAUCGAAACUACGGGGCUAGAGGACAGGAGGGGAGAGUGGAAUUCCUAGUGUAGCGGUGAAAUGCGUAGAUAUUAGGAGGAACGCCGGUGGCGAAAGCGACUCUCUGGACUGUUUCUGACACUGAGGUGCGAAAGCUAGGGGAGCAAACA